Molecule: ribosomal RNA, 805 nt
Filed under: uncultured bacterium
Lineage: Bacteria
Description: bacterial SSU rRNA
Rfam family: Bacterial small subunit ribosomal RNA
Source: RNAcentral
AGAGUUUGAUCAUGGCUCAGAGUGAACGCUGGCGGCAGGCCUAACACAUGCAAGUCGAGCGGCAGCGCGUCCGACCACCCUCGGGUGGUCGGAUGGCGGCGAGCGGCGGACGGGUGAGGAAUGCAUCGGAAUCUGCCUCGUUGUGGGGGAUAACGUAGGGAAACUUACGCUAAUACCGCAUACGACCUACGGGUGAAAGUGGGGGACCUUCGGGCCUCACGCGAUGAGAUGAGCCGAUGCCGGAUUAGCUAGUUGGCGGGGUAAAGGCCCACCAAGGCGACGAUCCGUAGCUGGUCUGAGAGGAUGAUCAGCCACACUGGAACUGAGACACGGUCCAGACUCCUACGGGAGGCAGCAGUGGGGAAUAUUGGACAAUGGGGGCAACCCUGAUCCAGCCAUGCCGCGUGUGUGAAGAAGGCCUUCGGGUUGUAAAGCACUUUUGUUGGGGAAGAAACCGGCCGGGUUAAUACCCUGGUUGAAUGACGGUACCCGCAGAAUAAGCACCGGCUAACUCUGUGCCAGCAGCCGCGGUAAUACAGAGGGUGCAAGCGUUAAUCGGAAUUACUGGGCGUAAAGGGUGCGUAGGUGGUGAAAUAAGUUAGGUGUGAAAUCCCUGGGCUUAACCUGGGAACUGCGCUUGAUACUGUUUCGCUAGAGUACUGUAGAGGGAAGUGGAAUUUCCGGUGUAGCGGUGAAAUGCGUAGAUAUCGGAAGGAACACCAGUGGCGAAGGCGACUUCCUGGACAGAUACUGACACUGAGGCACGAAAGCGUGGGGAGCAAACAGGAUUAGAUACCCCGGUAGU